This 1473-nucleotide ribosomal RNA is filed under the name uncultured Bacillus sp. RNAcentral describes it as "bacterial SSU rRNA". It matches the Rfam family "Bacterial small subunit ribosomal RNA". Lineage: Bacteria; Bacillati; Bacillota; Bacilli; Caryophanales; Bacillaceae. The record is from RNAcentral.
GACGAACGCUGGCGGCGUGCCUAAUACAUGCAAGUCGAGCGGACAGAUGGGAGCUUGCUCCCUGAUGUUAGCGGCGGACGGGUGAGUAACACGUGGGUAACCUGCCUGUAAGACUGGGAUAACUCCGGGAAACCGGGGCUAAUACCGGAUGCUUGUUUGAACCGCAUGGUUCAAACAUAAAAGGUGGCUUCGGCUACCACUUACAGAUGGACCCGCGGCGCAUUAGUUAGUUGGUGAGGUAACGGCUCACCAAGGCAACGAUGCGUAGCCGACCUGAGAGGGUGAUCGGCCACACUGGGACUGAGACACGGCCCAGGCUCCUACGGGAGGCAGCAGUAGGGAAUCUUCCGCAAUGGACGAAAGUCUGACGGAGCAACGCCGCGUGAGUGAUGAAGGUUUUCGGAUCGUAAAGCUCUGUUGUUAGGGAAGAACAAGUACCGUUCGAAUAGGGCGGUACCUUGACGGUACCUAACCAGAAAGCCACGGCUAACUACGUGCCAGCAGCCGCGGUAAUACGUAGGUGGCAAGCGUUGUCCGGAAUUAUUGGGCGUAAAGGGCUCGCAGGCGGUUUCUUAAGUCUGAUGUGAAAGCCCCCGGCUCAACCGGGGAGGGUCAUUGGAAACUGGGGAACUUGAGUGCAGAAGAGGAGAGUGGAAUUCCACGUGUAGCGGUGAAAUGCGUAGAGAUGUGGAGGAACACCAGUGGCGAAGGCGACUCUCUGGUCUGUAACUGACGCUGAGGAGCGAAAGCGUGGGGAGCGAACAGGAUUAGAUACCCUGGUAGUCCACGCCGUAAACGAUGAGUGCUAAGUGUUAGGGGGUUUCCGCCCCUUAGUGCUGCAGCUAACGCAUUAAGCACUCCGCCUGGGGAGUACGGUCGCAAGACUGAAACUCAAAGGAAUUGACGGGGGCCCGCACAAGCGGUGGAGCAUGUGGUUUAAUUCGAAGCAACGCGAAGAACCUUACCAGGUCUUGACAUCCUCUGACAAUCCUAGAGAUAGGACGUCCCCUUCGGGGGCAGAGUGACAGGUGGUGCAUGGUUGUCGUCAGCUCGUGUCGUGAGAUGUUGGGUUAAGUCCCGCAACGAGCGCAACCCUUGAUCUUAGUUGCCAGCAUUCAGUUGGGCACUCUAAGGUGACUGCCGGUGACAAACCGGAGGAAGGUGGGGAUGACGUCAAAUCAUCAUGCCCCUUAUGACCUGGGCUACACACGUGCUACAAUGGACAGAACAAAGGGCAGCGAAACCGCGAGGUUAAGCCAAUCCCACAAAUCUGUUCUCAGUUCGGAUCGCAGUCUGCAACUCGACUGCGUGAAGCUGGAAUCGCUAGUAAUCGCGGAUCAGCAUGCCGCGGUGAAUACGUUCCCGGGCCUUGUACACACCGCCCGUCACACCACGAGAGUUUGUAACACCCGAAGUCGGUGAGGUAACCUUUUAGGAGCCAGCCGCCGAAGGUGGGACAGAUGAUUGGGGUGA